AGAGUUUGAUCCUGGCUCAGAAUCAACGCUGGCGGCGCGCCUAACACAUGCAAGUCGAACGAGAAAGCGGGAGCAAUCUCGCAAGUAAAGUGGCGUACGGGUGAGUAACACGUGGAUUAUCUGCCCUGGAGUGGGGAAUAACGCUGGGAAACCGGCGCUAAUACCGCAUAUUCCCGAGAGGGGAAAGCAGCAAUGCGCUCGAGGAGGAGUCCGCGGCCGAUUAGCUAGUUGGCAGGGUAAAAGCCUACCAAGGCUGUGAUCGGUAGCCGGCCUGAGAGGGCACACGGCCACACUGGCACUGAGACACGGGCCAGACUCCUACGGGAGGCAGCAGUGGGGAAUCUUGCACAAUGGGGGAAACCCUGAUGCAGCGACGCCGCGUGAGCGAUGAAGCCCUUCGGGGUGUAAAGCUCUUUCGGCAGGGAAGAUGAUGACGGUACCUGCAGAAGCAGCUGCGGCUAACUACGUGCCAGCAGCCGCGGUAAUACGUAGGCAGCAAGCGUUGUUCGGAGUUACUGGGCGUAAAGGGUGUGUAGGCGGCUCUCUAAGUUUGGUGUGAAAUCUCCCGGCUCAACCGGGAGGGUGCGCCGAAAACUGGAGGGCUAGAGUGCGGGAUGGGAGAGUAGAAUUCCUGGUGUAGCGGUGAAAUGCGUAGAUAUCAGGAGGAAUACCGGUGGUGUAGACGGCUCUCUGGACCGCAACUGACGCUGAAACACGAAAGCGUGGGUAGCAAACAGGAUUAGAUACCCUGGUAGUCCACGCCCUAAACGAUGCAUAUUUGGUGUAGGUCAUUCAGUUGAUCUGUGCCGGAGCUAACGCGUUAAAUAUGCCGCCUGGGGAGUACAGUCGCAAGGCUGAAACUCAAGGAAUUGACGGGGGCCCGCACAAGCGGUGGAGCAUGUGGUUCAAUUCGACGCAACGCGAAGAACCUUACCUGGGCUCGAACGGCUAGUCAACGAUCGU
This 963-nucleotide ribosomal RNA is filed under the name uncultured bacterium. RNAcentral's name for it is "bacterial SSU rRNA". It matches the Rfam family "Bacterial small subunit ribosomal RNA", at positions 8 to 1002 of the family's 1533-position model. The record is from RNAcentral.